RNAcentral lists this small RNA (221 nucleotides) under Chaetoceros neogracilis. RNAcentral describes it as "partial transfer-messenger RNA". The record is from RNAcentral. Lineage: Eukaryota; Bacillariophyta; Thalassiosirophyceae; Chaetocerotales; Chaetocerotaceae.
AGAAGCCUUCACGAGUAUUUUUUGUUGAUAUCGAUUCUAAAAUUGAAAUGGAUUUAACAAACGAUCUAAGUGGGAUAGAUGAUGGUACUUUGAUCUAUGUGACGAGUUAUGCAGUGAAUAAUGUAUCAUCACCACAGCCUGAUGAUAAGAUAAAAGAAGACGAUAAGGAUUCAGAUAAUGAAGAUGAAAAAUUAAAUGUUAUUGACCCCUUAGAUGCUGUC